This 73-nucleotide transfer RNA is filed under the name Chamaesiphon sp. RNAcentral describes it as "tRNA-OTHER". It matches the Rfam family "tRNA". From Rfam's summary of the family: Transfer RNA (tRNA) molecules are approximately 80 nucleotides in length. Their secondary structure includes four short double-helical elements and three loops (D, anti-codon, and T loops). Further hydrogen bonds mediate the characteristic L-shaped molecular structure. tRNAs have two regions of fundamental functional importance: the anti-codon, which is responsible for specific mRNA codon recognition, and the 3' end, to which the tRNAs corresponding amino acid is attached (by aminoacyl-tRNA synthetases). tRNAs cope with the degeneracy of the genetic code in two manners: having more than one tRNA (with a specific anti-codon) for a particular amino acid; and 'wobble' base-pairing, i.e. permitting non-standard base-pairing at the 3rd anti-codon position. Lineage: Bacteria; Bacillati; Cyanobacteriota; Cyanophyceae; Gomontiellales; Chamaesiphonaceae. The record is from RNAcentral.
GUAUGAUUAGCUUAGUUGGAUAAAGCACCCGAAAUUCAUCGGGAUAGCCUGGGUUCGACUCCCAGAUCGUACU